GCCUUUCUCCGGUUGUGGUCAGUUCAUGCAUUUGAAAGGGGUUUCCCCACCCAUGUACUCCCUGCCCUCUCCGAUGUUCUCACUCUUACUUUCCUUCCUAGGACUACCUGUUUGCAAAAUCUUUGCACCGACCGUUCUCCGGCAGUGUUUCUCAAAUCCUCCUCCUCCCAUAGGGCCCGUAGUACUGUUGGAAUCUCGCGGGGGGCAGGACGCCGUGGUUA
This 221-nucleotide long non-coding RNA is filed under the name Homo sapiens (human). Its description in RNAcentral is "HSALNT0186071". Lineage: Eukaryota; Metazoa; Chordata; Mammalia; Primates; Hominidae. The record is from RNAcentral.